Molecule: long non-coding RNA, 831 nt
Filed under: Malus domestica (apple)
Lineage: Eukaryota; Viridiplantae; Streptophyta; Magnoliopsida; Rosales; Rosaceae
Description: long non-coding RNA (MDOM_LNC010041)
Source: RNAcentral
UAAGAAAAUAAUAAAAAAGGAUUAUUUAAUAAAAAAUCAAUUUAUAUUAUAAUUAAAAACAAACAAAAAUUGAAAAGGGCAUCUGGGCAAUCACCCUCUUCCUCCUCCAGCACCACCACCAACGCACCUACGAAACCCUAGCCGUAAAGAGAAACGCGCACAGCUUCCAUCUCUCUAUCGGCAUAGCCCCAUGUACGAUCAGCCAUGGGCAAAUUUCACGGAUCGUUCGCACAUGCCCUUAUCCAUUCACGCAAGGACCUGCAACCAGAUAUCGACCCGCUACUGAAACCCAGACCAUAAAUCUGAUUGAAGCCCAAACCACUGCCGCACCUGAUCGAUUCUGAACCACGAAUCUGUUCUGAACCACCGCUACGAUAUUAGACCCGAUGAACCACAAAGAGCUGCCAUUUGAUUGUCGCGAUGACCUCUGCCGCAAUCUGUUUGAACCACCGCACCGCGCCCAGACCCCUGCAUCCACAAGCCCGACCUGCUUGCCUCGAGCAGAUGUAACCAAAAAAGCCGGUACCCUUACCAUAUUUGUACUGCACCUGCAUCCACUAGCACCGUCUAGCGCCUGUAUCAAGCCAAAUCCUCAUUUAUUUUCUAUUUUCGUGGUGAAAGGGGGCUUCAAGCCCAGAUCCUAUUUCGUCAAUUUUAAAUGGAGUUGAAAUGAAAUUUUCAAAAUCUUUACAAUUUUUUAAAUUUGCAAAUCAAAGGAAUUCAUAAAAUGAACACAAUUUCAUCAAUUUGGAGCUUUUGAAGUUGUUAAGGGUUGAAGAGGAGGAGGAAAACGAGUUUGGAGAAAGAAAGGCGGCGAGGUUGCUCGAGAAG